AGCGAACGCUGGCGGCAGGCCUAACACAUGCAAGUCGAACGAACCUUUCGGGGUUAGUGGCGGACGGGUGAGUAACACGUGGGAACGUGCCUUUAGGUUCGGAAUAACUCAGGGAAACUUGUGCUAAUACCGAAUGUGCCCUUCGGGGGAAAGAUUAAUCGCCUUUAGAGCGGCCCGCGUCUGAUUAGCUAGUUGGUUGAGGUAAUGGCUCACCAAGGCGACGAUCAGUAGCUGGUCUGUGAGGAUGAUCAGCCACAUUGGGACUGAGACACGGCCCAAACUCCUACGGGAGGCAGCAGUGGGGAAUCUUGCGCAAUGGGCGAAAGCCUGACGCAGCCAUGCCGCGUGAAUGAUGAAGGUCUUAGGAUUGUAAAAUUCUUUCACCGGUGACGAUAAUGACGGUACCCGGAGAAGAAGCCCCGGCUAACUUCGUG
Molecule: ribosomal RNA, 434 nt
Filed under: uncultured bacterium
Lineage: Bacteria
Description: partial 16S ribosomal RNA
Rfam family: Bacterial small subunit ribosomal RNA
Source: RNAcentral